GGCGUGCCUAAUACAUGCAAGUCGAACGCUUCUUUUUCCACCGGAGCUUGCUCCACCGGAAAAAGAGGAGUGGCGAACGGGUGAGUAACACGUGGGUAACCUGCCCAUCAGAAGGGGAUAACACUUGGAAACAGGUGCUAAUACCGUAUAACAAUCGAAACCGCAUGGUUUUGAUUUGAAAGGCGCUUUCGGGUGUCGCUGAUGGAUGGACCCGCGGUGCAUUAGCUAGUUGGUGAGGUAACGGCUCACCAAGGCCACGAUGCAUAGCCGACCUGAGAGGGUGAUCGGCCACAUUGGGACUGAGACACGGCCCAAACUCCUACGGGAGGCAGCAGUAGGGAAUCUUCGGCAAUGGACGAAAGUCUGACCGAGCAACGCCGCGUGAGUGAAGAAGGUUUUCGGAUCGUAAAACUCUGUUGUUAGAGAAGAACAAGGAUGAGAGUAACUGUUCAUCCCUUGACGGUAUCUAACCAGAAAGCCACGGCUAACUACGUGCCAGCAGCCGCGGUAAUACGUAGGUGGCAAGCGUUGUCCGGAUUUAUUGGGCGUAAAGCGAGCGCAGGCGGUUUCUUAAGUCUGAUGUGAAAGCCCCCGGCUCAACCGGGGAGGGUCAUUGGAAACUGGGAGACUUGAGUGCAGAAGAGGAGAGUGGAAUUCCAUGUGUAGCGGUGAAAUGCGUAGAUAUAUGGAGGAACACCAGUGGCGAAGGC
Molecule: ribosomal RNA, 710 nt
Filed under: uncultured Bacilli bacterium
Lineage: Bacteria; Bacillati; Bacillota; Bacilli
Description: bacterial SSU rRNA
Rfam family: Bacterial small subunit ribosomal RNA
Source: RNAcentral